This 325-nucleotide ribosomal RNA is filed under the name uncultured Phormidium sp. RNAcentral's name for it is "bacterial SSU rRNA". It matches the Rfam family "Bacterial small subunit ribosomal RNA", at positions 49 to 400 of the family's 1533-position model. Lineage: Bacteria; Bacillati; Cyanobacteriota; Cyanophyceae; Oscillatoriales; Oscillatoriaceae. The record is from RNAcentral.
GAACACAUGCAAGUCGAACGAAGUUCUUCGGAACUUAGUGGCGGACGGGUGAGUAACGCGUGAGAAUCUACCUUCAGGACGGGGACAACAGCUGGAAACGGCUGCUAAUACCCGAUAUGCCGAAAGGUGAAAAGUUAUUUCGCCUGGAGAGGAGCUCGCGUCCGAUUAGCUAGUUGGUGGGGUAAAAGCUUACCAAGGCGACGAUCGGUAGCUGGUCUGAGAGGAUGAGCAGCCACACUGGAACUGAGACACGGUCCAGACUCCUACGGGAGGCAGCAGUGGGGAAUUUUCCGCAAUGGGCGAAAGCCUGACGGAGCAACGCCGC